Molecule: ribosomal RNA, 253 nt
Filed under: uncultured bacterium
Lineage: Bacteria
Description: partial 16S ribosomal RNA
Rfam family: Bacterial small subunit ribosomal RNA
Source: RNAcentral
GACAGAGGUGCCGAGCGUUAGUCGGAAUCACUGGGCUUAAAGCGUGUGUAGGCGGAUCGUUAAGUGCCUUGUGAAAUCCCACGGCUCAACCGUGGAACGGCUGGGUAUACUGCCUGUCUUGAGCCAGCUAGGGGCGACCGGAACAGACGGUGGAGCGGUGAAAUGCGUAGAUAUCGUCUGGAACGCCAAAGGUGAAAACAGGUCGCUGGGGCUGAGCUGACGCUGAGACACGAAAGCCAGGGGAGCGAACGGG